GUUCUUGGAUGACAUAGAGAAAUGGCCAGUGCAAACAACAUGACUAAUCGAAUCUUUACCUUUUUCCAAGUUCAUGUUGAUUUCUUCAUUUUUAGCAUUAGGAACAUCCUUCUUAUGGAGCUUAACACUUGCUGCAGUUUUUCCCGUCUCAAGCUUCUUCACCACGCGCCCGUGGAUAUCUUGAGAAGCUUGAUGCUCAUCCAAGAGUUGGCUUUCUUUUGAGCAACCAGGGUUAGCACAUGGUGAUAUAUUAUCUAGAUGUGCACGUGUGCAAGAAUGAGGUUCAUAUGAAUUUAGGUUUGCAACUACAACCUCAUGAGCAAUAUCAAGCAUGAUAUGUCUAUCCAAAAGAUUAUCAUGAUAAUAAGACAAUAUAUCAUAUUUUUCAGUAAGAGCAAGUUUAUCAUGAUUUAGCAA
Molecule: long non-coding RNA, 417 nt
Organism: Zea mays
Lineage: Eukaryota; Viridiplantae; Streptophyta; Magnoliopsida; Poales; Poaceae
Exons: 2
Source: RefSeq, a predicted model, not a curated record